GAAAUAGGUUAUUCGAGAAUAAGCUUCUAACUUAAUUCUCAAGCAGUGAAAUUCUGUUUAUAUUUCU
This 67-nucleotide transfer RNA is filed under the name Platisus moerosus. RNAcentral's name for it is "tRNA-Ser". The record is from RNAcentral. Lineage: Eukaryota; Metazoa; Arthropoda; Insecta; Coleoptera; Cucujidae.